UCUGAGGGAAAAGGGGCAUGGGGGGGCAGCUGCCCUGAGGGUAUUACAGCCCUCAGGAGGCUAAACUGUGAUGUGCCACAGGAAGAGAAUAGGAGGGAGUGAGGUGUCCCAGUGCCAAAGACCCUUGCCGUGGCAAGAAACUGAUUAAUUGAGAUAUAUACCCAGACGAUCCUGGAAAGCAGUCCACACCCCAAGCCACAGAGGAAGGCAAAAAACCCCCAAAGGUCUCUGCCAAUCUGACCUGGGGGAAAAUUCUUCCCAAAUCCACAUAUAGCACUCAGUUAGAUUCUGAACAUGAUGUGAACAAGAACCAGCCAGCUGUAGCCAUCACUGAUGCUUCUGAGGAAGGAGAGAAACAAAAUGCAAAUACAGAAUAGGUUGUGGGGUUGGGCAAUCUCUUUCUGACCCCUGCAGGUGACCACCUGAAGCAUGAGAUGUGAGCAGAAAGGAUUUUGGGGAGCCUGGCAGCAGCUGUCCAUCCUGUCAUGAAGGGAGCAUGGGAAGGAUCACUGGGUGGCUGCUCACCUCACACCUGUUAUGAGAUGCAGUCAACAAAACAGGAUCUAUCUACUGUAGCUGAGAACUCUUCAGUGUAAGGAAGAGGCAGAAAAUGUUGUUUGAUUUUGGAUGGAUGCGUGACCCACUUAACAGCCUUUGUUUGGGGAGCACAAUUGAGAGAAGAGAUCUGAGGUUUUACCAGAGUAGCGCAUAUAGAGAAGAAGGUAGUAAGUGCCUUUCAGUUCGGUGCUAUGGUAGAAGAAUUUUUGGUUUGGUUUCUUUGCAUUUACUAUGUCAAAGUAUCAAAGUGAAAGGGAGGCUGUAACUGUAGGGAAGAAGAAAAUGUUGCACUAUUUGUGGAAAAUAUUGUGGAAGUGUCUAGAAAUUUGCCAAGAUUUAUUUGUAACUCCUUAGGAUGAUUUUGAGUGACCCAAGUUCCUGGGGAUGAGUGCAAAUGUCUCCUUAAAAUGUCGAGAAACAACAGCCACUGAUGGCUAUUAGCAACCUUGGAAUCCCAGUCUUUGAUCCAGACUCAGGGUAUGUCUACAGUGUUGUCAGAGGUGUGAUUGCAACUCAGGUAGGCAUACCUGUACUAGCUGUAACCUAGCUAGCACAACUCAAAAUAAUAGCAAAGCUGUAGCAUCAUGGGCCUCAGUGCAGGCUAGCAACAUAAUGUAAUCAAGAUCCCAGGUGGGCUUGUACUGCCCAUGCCACUGCAUCUUUACUAUUUUUAGCCAUGCCAGCUAGAUAGAAGGUGUAAUAUGUAGACUGCUAGACAGCAUUUUUACCACUGUCAUCUACCUCAGCAGUCUGGACAACUCAUUGGUAAAGACACAAAGCAGCUCCUCCACACAAGUGCUCCCUGUGUUGCUAGCAUAAGUGCUGGACCAAUGGUGGAGGAACUCCCUAAAAUGACCUGUUUAGAUAAGGCCAAGGAGUCUGAUUCUCUCUCUACUGUAUUUAAUCUGGUCCAGGCCUUGGUCUUGCUGUGUCCUCCCUUUCCCGCAAUGAAAAUUUGGACAUUUGGCGGAAUUCAGUGAAACACCCUUCUGUAUGUGGUAGAAUGUUACGCUGUUAUGACAGCAAUGCUGAUUUGUUCACCUACCUUGUCAGAGAGAGGAGAAAUGAAAGUAGUGAAGAGAUUUCAGUAGACUAUUUGUCAUGACAGUGUAAUCUGGCUAAGGAUUAGCCACACAAAUCAGAAUGAUCCAUUUGGAAGAAAGCCAAGCUUCAGUCCAAGUAGGCACUUUAUUUGUGGUUGGAAUGCUGACAUUGAUAUAAUGGAAUAUCACAUAUACAUUGGAAAUAUAUACAUACAUCCCCACUCCAGGUUGUUGGUUUUUAUUUUAUUUUGCAUAAAAGGCCUCCCUGCAUAGAGUGAGCAUCUUUCGGAAAUCAAAGGAAGGGACAGUUAUCACAACAACAUAGAGGGGCCAAUCCUGCAGUCUUUGUAAAGGCAAAAUACCAUUGCAGGAUCACCCCUGAAGGAUCCAGGGAAGGAAAUGGAACAUGAGUGGUUUACAGGGACAUAAAGGGGUAUUUUAAAGGCAGUCGGAGACAGUUGUUCUUAAAGGUAAGAUAAGCAAUUAUGGCUUUAAGAUGCAGCUCAGUAGGUAGAGAAAAAAGCUUCUAAUCACACAGUCAAUUGAAUAACAGAAACAGGCUUCCAUAAGGAGAUAGAGAGAAUCACCAAGUCACAGCAUAACAAUCAAUCACUGGAGUUCAUUUUUGGGGCAUUAGCAUCCCGCCACACAGUGUGCACGUGUAAAUGUACUAGACUGUCUUUCCAGUCUGAGUGAUACGGCAACAACAUUAAUAUUCUGAACAGCUCCUUAAUAAAAGAUAUGUCCCUUUGCUGCAGAAGGCAGGGCCCCGCCAAUGUUUAUCUACUUCACCAGGAUAAAUAAAGAAGCAUGUUCAUUAUAGUACAGUGUAGGUGUAGUUGCCAUCUUUAAAAAGGGGGAAGAGGCUACAUUACAAUUAUAUCAAGACUAUGAAGGCAGAAAGAGGGCUGCUUUCUGGUAUUCAGUCUGAAUUCCAUUAGGGUAUUUAACUAGGACUUCCUCCCCAUCCUGUUCCUUAAAUUCCAUAGUUUCUUAGACUACAACUGAGUCUGCAGAAUACAUCCCAAGCCAAAGCAAUGGUUUCUGCGGGAACUAUGCUUCCUCAUCAACUCUUGUAUGCCUGAAAAUACAAAUCUUUCCAUAGUGACUUAAAAUGAGCCAUCUUAUGAGAAAAAUAUCCUAAUAACAGAAAGGCCCUGAAAUCCCCUUUGCUGUUGGUCCUUCUGGGCACCUGCUAUUUUAGAACUUUAUUUCUACAGCAACCAAAAUGAUUCUAUUAGAAAGAUAAUUAGCAGUUGAGCUGGAGAAACAAGCAGCAGAAAUAGACCACCCACAGAGCCUGUCCUUGUGCAAAUAUCCCUAGCAGUAAAAACAAAACAAAAGACUGUGGAAGAGAUGAAAAAGAGCAAUAGAUGAGCAGAAUAAUCUUGCACAAAACAUUUUGCAAACAUUUUCCAUUAGAUGCCAGUAAAUCAAAUCUGUAGUUUUGUUUCUGUAACCACUCCUGCCCCCUUACGUAGGUGACCAUCUGUCCUUUUGAACAUCCCGUAUCUAGUGCUUACUGUCCCACAGCCCAUCUCCGGUAAGUAGCAUUUGAUCAGGUAAUAAUCAUGCAAAGGAUCAUGCACUAUAAGUCUAGGAUUUUGUGACAUGAAUAAAAAAUUGGGGAUGAAAUAGGGGAAAAGCUGGUUUUUAUUUCCUAGAAAUGCAGUUGGUCACCCUACCUUUAUGAUUAGUUUAAAAAAAGGGGCACUGUAAAUAUGUGAUGCGUAACAGGACAUACAAAGUUCGGACAGGGUUAUAUUUUAAAAUGGGAUGGGGAUUCUAAAGGAAUCACCAGGAGUUUAUGUAAGGGUAGAGUAAGAAAUCCUUUAAAGUAGUUUCUGUGGACAUUUUUGGUAUAUAUAGCCCCAUGGAAGGGAUUACUAGCUGUCAGGCACAGGUAGAUGAUGCCAGGUUUGGAGACUCCACAGCACACAGAUUAUUUAUGUAACAGGCUGUAGUUGUUUCAAAGAGGUGAAGUUUAGCCAAUGAGUCAUUGAUGGGGCAACUCCUGCUUACCAAGCUCAGGUGGGUUUUUUUUUCCUGUUCGAUAUAGGUUCUUAUACUGCGCCCUCAUCCCUGUAGCAUCUGAGCAUCUUCCAGUAGUGAGUUAAGUGACAGAACAAAUCACACAUAACAGAUAUUACUUAUUUCUCUCAUCCUCUCCGCGGGGAGAGAGCAGUGUGUGCAGUACAGUGUUUUGGUAGGGUUUGUUUUGGGGCUGUUUUGUUUUUUUGGUCAGCGAUCUGGCAAGUCUCAGUCAUAUUUUCUUAUAACACAGUGUUGAAGAAUAAUUUGUCCUAUCUACACUAGCAGAGCUUUUCCCUCACCAAUUCAAGGGGACUGGUUACCCCCUGCUAUUGUCAGCAACAGAUCAGCUUCCUAAUGUAGAUGCUGCUUCUGAGACCCAGUGGUCCAAAAGACAGUUCUAGGAAUAUGAAACUCCUAAGUUCCAAUCCAAAGUUCUGAUACCAACUCCCAGUGGAAGCUUUGGGCAAGGUCACAGCACAUCUCUGCCACAGUUUCCCCAAUGAUAAAGUAGGGAUAAUACCUGCCUAACAGGACUUUGGGAGGAUUAAUGCAUUUGACAAGUGCUUUGAACUUGUAAAGUUCUAAGUAUUAAAUGAAUAGCAACAUUGCAAAAGCAUGUGAGUCUUUUCCAUUGGAGUGUGGUUUAGAAGAGUAGCUAGAGCUGCCUCUGCAAACUCAACAACUUGGUCCUUUUUAUUUGCUUAUUUAAAACCAAAGCAAAAUGUCCAAAGUAACUGGUUUUCAUUAUAAACUACCAACCUUUCAAACGUGCAAAGCUGAUAAUCAGUUGGAGAGAAAAAAAACUUAACAAAAGGUUUUAUACAUAUAUAUUUUAAAAAUCCAUCACAAAUUUACAGCAGUAAUGAGAUCAUCUAUGCUGUGCUCCAGGCUCAUGUGACUUUAUGGCUAAGGGGCUAUACCAGUACCUAAGACCUCUGUUGAACGAAAGAAGCAAUGUUGACCAAUAACAAUACUGGAACUCGUGGGUACAACUAAUAAAAACAAAAAUGUACAAAACCAAAAAACCCUUUAAUAUUUCAGAUAUAAAACAAUUCUCAUAUCUUACAAAAAAUACUACAGGCUCAAAAGGUUACUAGAAAUAGGUAUAAAAAAAGUAAAAUAUAAUCUUUAGCACAAAUUAAAUGCUACAAAUUAACUGGCCAAAUUAACAUAUUUGGAAUAAAGAGUUCCUUUUUGUUUAAAAAAAUAAAGAGUCCAGAUAACCUCACAAUGCCUCUUUACACCUCUGUGUUCCUGCAUUAUUUGGAAGCUGUAAACCAUCCAAAUAGCCCCAUUUCAAUUUGUUUAAGCAGAUUAAAAAUAAUAAAUGAAGUCAUGAGGUUGACCACCUUUCCUAUCCCCAAGAGGGCCCCAUCUACAUUAGUGAAAAUAGAGUAAUUCACAAAUAGUGGGAGCAAGGGUGGAUGCUCUAGUGCAGCCUGAGGCCUGUCCUUUUUCCCCACCAUCCUGGCCAACCCUGCUCACUGGUAAAAAAAAACUGAGUCCUGUCUACUCUACUCUGUUGCUACCGGAGGUAGAGUUGCACCUGUGGUACAUUAUCAGUUUUGCCAACAUUGGACACAGUCAGAGAGAUGACCACUUAAAGGAAACUACAGUGAUUCUUAACAUGCCUGAUAACUUAAUUUGCAACACUGG
This is a long non-coding RNA of Chelonia mydas (Green sea turtle), 5291 nucleotides long. RefSeq lists it as uncharacterized. The record is from RefSeq and is a predicted model, not a curated record. NCBI's taxonomy places the organism in Eukaryota, Metazoa, Chordata, Testudines, Cheloniidae. The transcript is spliced from 2 exons.